GUACUGAAAGCAUAUAAGUACGAAGCCCAUCCCAAGAUUAGAUAUACUUGUGUAACUUGAUUACAUGGGAGGUCCGCGGAAGACUACCGCGUUGAUAGACCCUAGGUGUUAGUAUAGUAAUAUAUUUAGCCGAGGGGUACUAAUUGACCAAAAGCUUU
This 158-nucleotide ribosomal RNA is filed under the name Patescibacteria group bacterium. RNAcentral describes it as "partial 23S ribosomal RNA". It matches the Rfam family "Bacterial large subunit ribosomal RNA", at positions 2768 to 2925 of the family's 2925-position model. The record is from RNAcentral.